GGGCCUUUAGCUCAAUUGGUUAGAGCAGCUGACUCAUAAUCAGCAGGUCAUCAGUUCAAGUCUGGUAAGGCCCA
Molecule: transfer RNA, 74 nt
Filed under: Crassvirales sp.
Lineage: Duplodnaviria; Heunggongvirae; Uroviricota; Caudoviricetes; Crassvirales
Description: tRNA-Met
Rfam family: tRNA
About the family: Transfer RNA (tRNA) molecules are approximately 80 nucleotides in length. Their secondary structure includes four short double-helical elements and three loops (D, anti-codon, and T loops).
Source: RNAcentral